GUGGGAAGGGUCUGGAAUGGGCACAUGAGAUCCCUGCCCAAAGAAACGCGUCUGGUGAACUGUCAUGUUCGCCUAGCGAACAUAACCUUCGCCUAGCGAAGGAACGCGCCUCAACCUCGCCCCAGCGAGAUUGAGAGGUUUUGCUACUGUAAUGUUCGCUGUGGACUCGCUGGAGCUUCGCCUAGCGAGUGAGUGCUAGCUGUGUUUUUCACCAAAACAGAAUGAGUUCGCUAUUACCUUCGCCUUGAGCUCGCCUAGCG
Molecule: long non-coding RNA, 260 nt
Filed under: Lathyrus oleraceus (garden pea)
Lineage: Eukaryota; Viridiplantae; Streptophyta; Magnoliopsida; Fabales; Fabaceae
Description: Pisum sativum (pea) long non-coding RNA (PSAT_LNC014897)
Source: RNAcentral